GUCGGGGCCUUGCGCGGCGGAAAACGCCGAACCGUGUCAGGGCCGAGAGGCAGCAGCACUAAGGUGUCCAUCCGGGUGUCGUGGGUAACCCCGGCGUG
Molecule: signal recognition particle RNA, 98 nt
Filed under: Anaerolineae bacterium
Lineage: Bacteria; Bacillati; Chloroflexota; Anaerolineae
Description: signal recognition particle sRNA small type
Rfam family: Bacterial small signal recognition particle RNA
About the family: The signal recognition particle (SRP) is a universally conserved ribonucleoprotein involved in the co-translational targeting of proteins to membranes. Archaeal SRP consists of a 7S RNA and homologues of the eukaryotic SRP19 and SRP54 proteins.
Source: RNAcentral